AGUGAACGCUGGCGGUAGGCCUAACACAUGCAAGUCGAACGGCAGCACAGUAAGAGCUUGCUCUUACGGGUGGCGAGUGGCGGACGGGUGAGGAAUACAUCGGAAUCUACUUUUUCGUGGGGGAUAACGUAGGGAAACUUACGCUAAUACCGCAUACGACCUACGGGUGAAAGCAGGGGAUCCUCGGACCUUGCGCGAUUGAAUGAGCCGAUGUCGGAUUAGCUAGUUGGCGGGGUAAAGGCCCACCAAGGCGACGAUCCGUAGCUGGUCUGAGAGGAUGAUCAGCCACACUGGAACUGAGACACGGUCCAGACUCCUACGGGAGGCAGCAGUGGGGAAUAUUGGACAAUGGGCGCAAGCCUGAUCCAGCCAUACCGCGUGGGUGAAGAAGGCCUUCGGGCUGUAAAGCCCUUUUGUUGGGAAAGAAAAGCAGCAGGUUAAUACCCCGCUGUUCUGGCGGUACCCAAAGAAUAAGCACCGGCUAACUUCGUG
RNAcentral lists this ribosomal RNA (492 nucleotides) under uncultured bacterium. Its description in RNAcentral is "partial 16S ribosomal RNA". It matches the Rfam family "Bacterial small subunit ribosomal RNA", at positions 29 to 507 of the family's 1533-position model. The record is from RNAcentral.